UUUCUUUUUUCUAUCCGAGGCGGCAAAGAGGGUGCUCGGACCAAACAGCGGUCGGUGGAAGCUUCUUGAAUCUUUCCUGGAGCAGAACAAGAUCCAGCAGAUUUGGGAAGAACCACAGGUUCCUUUUGCCGCAAGAAAGAUCCAACUGGUCUCGGUUCUUGAACCCUAGUCUUUUCAGAGAACUGCUUUGUCUCUCCUUUUCUUCCAUCUAUAGAAGCUGCCCUGAUCAAACAUCUCCCUGUGGAGGCUUCUAAAGACUUCUUCUCAUCUAAAUCUCCCACUUUUUCAGGAGAUGUCAAAGAAGAAGAAGAAGAUGGGUAAGGAUCUGAGUGACAAUACCUUAAGACUCUCGACCUUCUGACAAGAGAUAACAAAAGAAAAGAAAGACUAGAAAGUUGAGAAGAUGGAGACAAGAGAUGCUAAAAAGAGAGAACUUGUGUGUUUAUAACAAAGAUAUGGUCUUCUGAUCUUCUUUUGUGGGUGUUUGUUUUGUUCAUAUAUGUGUUGUUUAGUAAAUAUCCAAUGUAUUUCAAGCAUCGAUUCUGGAGAUUACUUAGAAGUGCCCACAUGGGCAGCCUUUCCUCAA
Molecule: long non-coding RNA, 586 nt
Organism: Brassica napus (rape)
Lineage: Eukaryota; Viridiplantae; Streptophyta; Magnoliopsida; Brassicales; Brassicaceae
Exons: 2
Source: RefSeq, a predicted model, not a curated record